CAUGAGCAAUUGGAAUGUGCCAUGAGCAAUGCCCAGGAUUUAUACACACUCCACAAGAACAACAAAUCAAACAUCAUGAUACACAAGUACAUCCAUACAUAGAGUUCACUUUACAUAAAGAGGUCAAGUUACAUAACAUCAAGUCUUAGAGUUUUGCAGCGGAAAAGUCUAACAUCGUGCUCAUACGAUAAAACACAAAUAAGAAGGAUAACACUAUAUGCCGAUAGUGCUCUUCUCAUAGCCACCGGCCAUCUACUCCUCACGCGCACCUCCGUCCAUAGGGUAGAAGUACCCAAAGACGGCCUCCGGCUGCGGAUCACCUGCACCAACUUAACAAUAGCACCAUGAGUACAAAAGGUACUCGCAGGACUAGUACAUACUUGCCUGACCUCAAGGAGAAUGCAUUUGGUUAGGUAGCAAGGAAAAGUCAUGGUAUUUAAUUUUGCAUAAAAGCAUCUUCAUUUGAUCAAGUUAUAUAUAUUAAGCAAAAUACAUAGCCUCUAUGGUCUAUAAAAUUCAAGCAUCAAACAAUUGCAUGAAUAAAGUGAUCAUAAUUCAUGAGCUCAAUCUUUCAUGAACUUUUUCGGUAACUCUACGAUAAAGUCAAAGUACAAGAGCAUGCUCAAUGAUCAAGAGCGUGGCUAUUGCAAUAAAUCAAACACCCUGCAGGGGUGUACAACUUUUCCCACACAACAACAAGACCAACGACCAUACCCACAGCCAAGGAUAAGUGUUGAUUCAUGCCUCAACCGUUCACAUACCUAUACUCGGCUAUGAGCGAACAUUCGGGAGGGACAAGUGCACCGGAACCGCCAAUCACACUCUAUCACAACCCGCACCGAAUCCGCUCAAGGCAAGGUGUGACUUAUGCUACUUAGCUUACCAUCCUAUUAUUAAGUAUGUGGUUUGUAUGGGAAAGUGCUCAAGUAUUAAAGCGAUUACGUAUCGGUCCUUAAUCAACCCAAGCAAGUCUAACCAUUUGAGUUCCACUCCCAACAUGGCUCUACCAUACUUGCUCAGGUCCGAGUCAUCAUUAAAAGUUGCUCAUAUUUUGUUCAUCCUUGACGAAUCAUGUAGAACUAAACAUAUAUCCUAUAGCUCGCGAGUGGUGGUGACCUUGCCACCUCUCGUCUUCUACCGUAGCUAAGCAUGGCUAAACAUAUAAUUCAUGACACCUAACAAGCAUACUCAACUAGGAAAUAAUGUUCUAAGCAAGGUUGGUAAUGCAUCAAUUAGGCUCUGAGCAAUCAUUUAUACAUACAGUAACUCAUGCACAAACAAGAUAAAUAUACUUCAUUGAUCCAAAAUAAGAGGUAAAAGAUGCAUAGGUGCCUACCUUGAUUCUCAACGAGGGUGUCGUCUCCCACAGUCUCCGGCUCACCCUCCUCUUGUUCCGGCGUCACGGCCUCUACAUGAGUGCAAUGAUGCUUGAGAAAUAAAUAUGCGAGCGACGACGCGAUGUUGAAGGCCGGAUAAUCGUGCCAGCGAAGGCGUGUUGAAGCACAAGGGAUAGCAUUAUUAAUUCAGCACGAGCAAUAGCAACCAAAAGCAGUUCCGAGCACGAGAUGGAGGAAAAAGGAGGAAAAAUUCUGACCUCCACUUCCCGCAGCUAGAACUUAGAGCUGAAUCAUGCGACUAAAUCGAGAACAACGAAUUGAGGAAACAUCAUUCAGAUUAAAAAAGCAUAUGACGAGCACAAAGAACCAAACUCCCGGUGGAUAAGGAGCUUAGGGUGCUGAGCCACCGGAAUCCACGAGAACGGCAAACGAUGCCCACUACUUGGCCGGCAGCACCACGAGAUGGCCACUACAUCGUUGCACAAAGCCUCAGCCAUGGUCACCUUGUCCUCCGAGAUCGAGUUCACGCGCACCUAGCAAGCAACGGAGAGAGAGAGAGGGAGGAGAGGAUUUGCAGGGUGUUUUGCUGGACUGUGGCAGGAACAGAGGGAGUGGAGCAGCGCCGGCGCGCGGCGCGACUGCAGGCUGAGGCGGCGGCGGCGCGUCGGGGGAGGGGAGUCGGGGAAUUGCGGAAGGGAUGGGGAAGGCUGCGGAAGGAGCUCGAGUUAGUUUAUUGGGCC
Molecule: long non-coding RNA, 2077 nt
Filed under: Panicum hallii
Lineage: Eukaryota; Viridiplantae; Streptophyta; Magnoliopsida; Poales; Poaceae
Description: long non-coding RNA (PHAL_LNC000815)
Source: RNAcentral